This 95-nucleotide ribosomal RNA is filed under the name uncultured bacterium. RNAcentral's name for it is "partial 16S ribosomal RNA". It matches the Rfam family "Bacterial small subunit ribosomal RNA", at positions 1388 to 1482 of the family's 1533-position model. The record is from RNAcentral.
CACUGCCCGUCAAGCCAUGGAAGUUGACUUUAUCUGAAAUUGGUGAGCUAACCUUCGGGAAGCAGCCACUUAUGGUAGAGUUGAUGACUGGGGUU